AUUGCUUCUCGGCCUUUUGGCUAAGAUCAAAGUGUAGUAUCUGUUCUUAUCAGCUUAAUGUCUGAUACGUCUCCUACAGGCACCCUGAGCUUCAGAGAUAACUUGACACUAACCUCUU
This 118-nucleotide small nuclear RNA is filed under the name Lingula anatina. RNAcentral's name for it is "U2 spliceosomal RNA". It matches the Rfam family "U2 spliceosomal RNA". Rfam says of the family: U2 is a small nuclear RNA (snRNA) component of the spliceosome (involved in pre-mRNA splicing). Complementary binding between U2 snRNA (in an area lying towards the 5' end but 3' to hairpin I) and the branchpoint sequence (BPS) of the intron results the bulging out of an unpaired adenosine, on the BPS, which initiates a nucleophilic attack at the intronic 5' splice site, thus starting the first of two transesterification reactions that mediate splicing. The record is from Rfam by way of RNAcentral. Lineage: Eukaryota; Metazoa; Brachiopoda; Lingulata; Lingulida; Lingulidae.